GGCGGCAGGCCUAAUACAUGCAAGUCGAGCGGGUCCUUCGGGAUUAGCGGCGGACGGGUGAGUAACGCGUGGGAACGUGCCCUUUGGUACGGAACAACUGAGGGAAACUUCAGCUAAUACCGUAUGUGCCCUUCGGGGAAAGAUUUAUCGCCAUUGGAGCGGCCCGCGUUGGAUUGGGUAGUUGGUGAGGUAAAGGCUCACCAAGCCUACGAUCCAUAGCUGGUCUGAGAGGAUGACCAGCCACACUGGGACUGAGACACGGCCCAGACUCCUACGGGAGGCAGCAGUAGGGAAUCUUGCGCAAUGGGCGAAAGCCUGACGCAGCCAUGCCGCGUGAAUGAUGAAGGUCUUAGGAUUGUAAAAUUCUUUCACCGGGGACGAUAAUGACGGUACCCGGAGAAGAAGCCCCGGCUAACUUCGUG
This 422-nucleotide ribosomal RNA is filed under the name uncultured bacterium. Its description in RNAcentral is "bacterial SSU rRNA". It matches the Rfam family "Bacterial small subunit ribosomal RNA", at positions 38 to 507 of the family's 1533-position model. The record is from RNAcentral.